Molecule: long non-coding RNA, 3472 nt
Organism: Anthonomus grandis grandis
Lineage: Eukaryota; Metazoa; Arthropoda; Insecta; Coleoptera; Curculionidae
Exons: 5
Source: RefSeq, a predicted model, not a curated record
GGACGUAUAGGUCAAGGGAAUAAUAAUAUGAAGCUAAGUUUACACCACGCAACUAGCAUAUAUACAGGGUGACCUCUUUGAAAUGGUCAAAAAUGCUAGAGUAAAUACAGGAGCCACAAAGAAGUAGUUUGAGAUAGGAUACCGGUGGUCGAAUGGAAACCCUUGGACGGAUUUGCAGCACACGUAUGUAAAUUUUUUUUAUAACAAAAAGAUACGCCACUGUUUUUUUGAAAAAAAAAAUUCGAAAUAUUUUGUUCAUUUUUAAUAAAACAAAUUCCUUGCAUUUUUGCGCUCCGAUGCACUUUUUUCGUGCAAAAAAAUAAAAUCCAUACAAGGAUCUUUCAAAAGCUUUUUGUCACAACGAAAAUAUCAUUAUAAUAAAAAAUACAUAAUUUAACUAAACAAUAAACAAUUUAAAUAAAAAAAGAAUAAUUUAAACAAUUCAAACCAAAUGCUCAAAAUGUCCUCGAUGCAUUUCCACACAUUUUCUGCACCUGUUGACCCAAGAUGUACGCGAGCAAAGACCCCUGGAUCGUUUCUCAGAAAGUCCUCUAGAGUUAUGGUGGACUCUAGCAACUAGGUCUUCUCUGUUGGUUAUAGGUGUUGCGUAGAUCAGCUGUUCCAUGGCGCCUUAAACAAAAAAUUCUAGAGGUGUCAGAUCAGGUGACCUUACUGGCCAAGGGACUGCACCACCUCUACAAAUCCACCUGUUGUUGUAGUUCUAAUCUAAGAAAGCCAUAGAGUAAUUAAAAGUAUAAAAAGUAAUUUAAUAUUCAUUUCUCUAUGAAGAAGACAUAAUCUAACCUCAAAUUCAAUGAUUGUUGAUUUUGGCGUUUGAUGGAAGUUUGAUCGUUAUUCGUUUGAUUAUUUGAUUAUUAUUCAUAGAGAAAUGAAUAUUAAAUACUUUUAAUUACUUUAUGUUAUUAUUGCUAGCUUUAUAUUUGUGUUCUGUGAUUGCUAGUCGUUUGAUCGUUUCGUUGUUGCCAAACUGGAUUCGAAAUGGGGAGUUAAAAGAUCCGCAAAGCGGAUUUUAACUAUUUUUAGGUAAAUGUUCGUUAUAGCGAUUUAAGAAACAUUUACCUAUUUUUAUUAUAAAAUAAAUUUUUAUUUGGGGUUUUCCUUAGAGUUGUGUAUCAUAAAUAUUAUGGGUGCCAACAUAGUUCAAUAAAUAAGAAAAGAAGUUGUACCAAGACUGAAAUGAAUAUAAGGAUGAAUAUAGGAUAUAUACAGGAUGUGUUGCAACAAUAGAUGUUAAAAUUAAAAAAAUUACAACUAAAACAAAAAGAAAGGAUGAAUACCUAAAGUUAGAUAUUCCUUUAUGUGGUAUUAUAAAUUUUAACUUAAAUCAUAACCAUAAUCUUGGCACAAGUGGUAGUUUGAAAUUUAUGAAGCUUUCUGAAGAGGUAGGCAGCAAAGUUUAAUAUAAUUAUAUAUAACCCAUAAAUAGUUGUUUUUCUUUUCGUUAUACAAGCUGGUUCUUUUAAAUUUUAGACUAAAAAGAUGUUUGAAGGAUAUUUUGAGAAUGGAAUGAGCCCUGCCGAAGCAAGAAGAUACCAUGAAAGUUUGUUAUUAUUGGAUGAAAAAGGUUGGAAAAAAUGGCAGAUGCCUCUCUAAAUCCUACUAAAAAUGCACUUUAUUACCUUCAUAAAAAAUGGACUUUAAGGCAUUUUGGACAGGUAUUUGAGCCAAUAUUAAAACAUUAAGAAAAAAAAAGUUUUAUCAUCAAUCAGGAAUAAAUAUUGAAAUUGCAACAGACCCAUGAGCAGUAUUGGUAGUUACGCCAAUCAUGAAAAGAGCACAGGAACUGCAGUCCUCCAAGGAACUGAUAUUUUGCGACAGUACAUCAAGUUGUGACACCAGCGAGACCACAGUUACUGUGUUACUAACAGCUACAAAAGCUGGUGCCAUUCCCAUUGCGAUACUUUUGCAUGAUGGGCAAACUUUUGAAAGUUAUGAACAAGCCUAUGGAUUGCUAAAGCAGACAUUUCCAAACUCUUUUGGAGGGAAUUUUCUAAUUAUUUCCACUAAAAAAAACAACACAAAUGAAUCUUUUGAGCCUAUAUGUUUUAUGACAGACGACUCCAAAGCUGAAAAGACAGCUCUUAAAAAUACAUUUCCAAAUUCUACUCAGCUACUGUGUUUUUUCAUGUGCUUCAAAAAGAAUGGCGAUGGCUUUCUGAAAACAAAAAUAAGAUUUCCAUGGAAAAGCGUCAAAUCUUAAUGCAUUCAUUUCGUAAGAUUAUGUAUUCUGAAAGUAAUGAAGAUCUAAAUGAACACAUGUUAAAGCUGCAGCAAGAAGCGGAGGAUUGUCCAAAUUUUUGGGCAAGAUUUGAAAUUUAUUUUUCUAGAGGACAAGAGUGGUUGUAUCUUCAUAGGAAACAUUUGGUCAUAAGAGGGAAUAAUACAAACAAUUACGCAGAAGUAACCAUCAGAAUACUUAAGGACAUUAUUCUUCAUCGUACAAAAGGUUAAAAUUGUGUGGCAUUAGUUGAUUUCAUUGGUUUUGUUUGGGAGGAGUAUUUUAAAUGAUUCUAUUUAAUGAUCUAUUAGAUUUUGCCCAUGGAAGAAGAAACGAAAUAAAAAAUAAUUACUUAAAGCUAUGUUCAAAAGUAAAUGAUUUUAAACCGGGAUAUAUUGUAACUUUGGGAGAUGGAUUGUAUCAAAUUUUAAUUAUAGUAGUAGUUCUAAUAUCUUUUUAAAAUACUUUAUUGACGUGCCAAUUGUCUUGCAGGCAUAAAUGGGUCAUUUUGUAAGCACCAAGCUUACCUACAUAAACAUUUAAAUAUUCCAUUUUUGAAUGCCCCUGCUAUUAAUUUUCAAGAAAGAGCAUCACUUGGGUGGCUAGCUCUUGGCGAGAAAUGCCCUGAAUCCAAAUGGUUUUUGGCCCUAAGUGAGUUUUCAGAAAAUGCAGAUAAUAUACAAGAUUGUGGUUAUCAAGAAAACCAUCUGGACUAGAAUCGAUGCACCAUCUUCAUUAUUUGAUGAGACAAUAAUGGAGAUUGAUGACACGGUGGAAGAUGACAACAAAAAGGAAGAUGUAAUUGAAGGAAUUAAAGAAGAAUGUAAAAAAUUUGAUAAAAUGCUUAAGGAAAUACCUUUAAAAGCAUUAAAAAGACUUGCAAAUAAACUAAAAAGAAUACAAACUGCGCCGCAGCUAUAUUCUUUCAUAGACAGUAAAGUUUCUAGGGUCAAACGCAACUCAAAAAUAAAAGUCCAGCCAACAACUGCUUCUCGAAGACGGCCUGGAGCCACUCGUGCAAGUUGAAUAAUCCCUUCAGGAAGACCACCUUGUGGCAAACGUAGUAGCCAAAGUGCUGUCAGAGGUAGUGGAAAACGAAAACAUAACAUAAGUUUAAAUAUAUCUUUAAAUCAACGAAACGCAAUUAUUCAUGGUCCCGCGUAUUAAAUACAUAAUAUGUACAAAAGUAAUAAAAAAUAUUGUUUAGAUUUUUUAUUAAAUUUUUAUUUUUAA